Molecule: long non-coding RNA, 2595 nt
Organism: Solanum pennellii
Lineage: Eukaryota; Viridiplantae; Streptophyta; Magnoliopsida; Solanales; Solanaceae
Exons: 4
Source: RefSeq, a predicted model, not a curated record
UAAUUUUUUUCAGAAUUAAUGCCAAACUCAAAAUCUCCUUUAUUAAUUAGAGUUAUAGUUAAAUAAAAAUACUGUUCAUUUUCUUUCAUUUCUUGUUCAUCAAUCAUUGUUAUUGGACAUCUCGAAUCUCCAUAUCAGAUCAAAUCAUAUUUGUGUAAAUUCUUAAUGGAGAGGUGAGAGUGGUGUUAUAGUCUCAGCGUGGGAAAAAAUUCACCUCAAAAAUGAUAAAGGUGGUAUUUAAACGCCCGUGUAUUAAGUACUAAAGAACAGAUCGAAGGAACACUCCAAGGUCAUGAAGAAGAUACAAAAUACAAGUCAUUUCUGUGGCAGUGGAGGCUAGUGCUCUAUACUCAGCUUCAGCACUCGAUCGGGCUACUAUGGUCUGUUUCUUGGAGGUCCAAGAAAUAGAAUUUUCACCUAAAUGGAUACUAUAGCCUAUAGUUGAUCUCCUAGUUGGUGUACAACCUCCCCUAGCAGCAUCUGAGUAGCCAUACACCUACAUGGUGAUUGUGAAAUAAUUCUGAGUCCAACAUGUAGAGUAACUUUGAUGUACCUCAGAAUCCUUUUUACCCUUUGAGGAUGUUCAAUAUUUGAGCUUUGCAUAAACUGGCUUGCUAAAUUCGCAGCAUGAAUGAUAUCAGGUCUUAUGAGGGUUAAAUAUUGAAGGCUCUCUACUAUCAUUAAGUAAAAUGAUGUAUCUACAAGACUUUGCACAGCUUCAUGCAAACCAUGUUUUUGAACCAAAGGAGUGGUUACAGCCUUUACCAAAGUCAUCUCUAUUUUGGCCAACAGCUCAGCAACAUACUUGCUUUGAUUUAAGUGAAUUCCACCUUCAAAAUACUUCACCUCGAUUCCUAGGAAAAGUGUAAAGGGACAAGAUCUUUCAAAGCAAACCCCUUUCCAAGUUGUAGAAACAACUCUGGGACAUGAGAUGGAUUACUUCCUGUGACAAUAAUAUCAUCCACAUAUAUCAAGAGAAAUAUUUUGUCUUUGUGAGUUUGAAAGGUAAAUGAGAAAGGAUCAGCCUUACUACAAAUGAAACCAAGGUGUAAAAGAUGCAUGCUAAACUUAUCAAACCAGGCUCUUGGGGCUUGUUUAAGACCAUACAAUGUCUUUUUAAGUAGACAUACAUGCUGAUGAUACUGGGAUCAAUAAAAUAAGGAGGUUGACUCAUGUACACCUCCUCUUGCAAGAAACCAUGGAGAAAGAUAUUUUUGACAUCUAGUUGUCUAACUUCCCACUUUGAACUGACAUCAAUGGAUAGAACCACCCUAAUAGUUGUAGCUUUAACCACAGGACUAAAUGUUUCUACAAAAUCUACCUCUUAAAGCUGCGAGAAUCCCCUCGCCACAGGUCUGACCUUGUAUUUAUCUAUUGUUCGAUCAGCUUUUUAAUUUUGUCUUGAACACCCAUUUUGAGCCAACAAAGUUUAUACCAGGAGAUUUGGGCACAAAAAUCCAUGUCUUGUUCGUAUGUAAAGCAUCAAUUUCUUCCUGCAUUGCUGCAAGCCAAUGAGGUGAUUUUAAUGUUUCCUUAGUAGUAUUUGGUUCUCUCACAAUUUUUUUGCUGCUGCGAGCAACAAGUGACAGUGUUGUUCCUUCGCCUUGUUUCUGGUGAUCAUAUGAUGCCCUUGGGGUGCAAGAAGUACCUCAACUGGUACAUCAACGAAUGUAGUUAAUUGGAGAUGAAUUUGUACAUCAACUAAAGUGGUUGUUUGAUGAUGAUCAUUGGCUAGACCUAUAAGAGCAAACUGUUCCUCACUGUUGCUGGCAGUAUGCAGCUGAAGUUUCAAUACUAUUGUAUGGAUCAUAAACUUUAACGUGUUACUCAAUAUCUGAUCUUGCGCCUGAGAGGUCAAUAAUACUCUCAUCAUCAAUGGAUGCAUAAGGUGUAGCAACAUUUUCACUAUUAAUGUAUGGGCUAGCCGCAUGUACUUCCCCUGAAUCAAAAUUAUCAUGUGCCUGCAGUUUAGAGAAUUAUUCAACAAAAGUAUCAAGGUGAGGUGAGACAUCAAUGCUAGUCUGAGAUUGCUUUGGAGACACAUAGGGUAAUGUGUUUUCAUCAAACACAACAUGUCUGGAUAUGUAAACCCUCUUUGUAGAGGGACGAUAGCAUUUAUAUCCUUUGUGUAAGUUGUUGUACCCUGUGAACACACGGGAAUAGUUCUUUGGACUGAACUUAUUGUUACCCUUUAUAUAAGAAAAACAUCUACACCCAAACACUUUUAGGCUGUUGUAAUCAAGUUGUUCACCAUAGAACUUAACAAAUGGAGUCCCCAUCUUUAGGACUGAUGAAGACAAUCUUUUGAUGAGGAAUACUGCAGUGAGAAAAGUUUCAACCCAUAGAAACAAAGGUAGGUUAGCAUUAUGUAGUAAAGCUAAGCCAGUCUCCACAAUAUGCAUAUGUUUUCUAUUUACAACUCCAUUUUGUUUAGGUGUUAGGACAUGGAAUAUAUCUCACAGUGCCAUGAUCUUCCAAAUGCUUAAUGAAGUCUAUUUGGAUAAACUCACCACCUCCAUCACACUGAAAAAUCUUAAUCUCUUUCGAAAAAUAUUUUUCCAUCAUUUUCUGAAAUUUCAUAAAGACUUCAAAGAA